This 252-nucleotide ribosomal RNA is filed under the name uncultured prokaryote. RNAcentral describes it as "partial 16S ribosomal RNA". It matches the Rfam family "Bacterial small subunit ribosomal RNA", at positions 524 to 775 of the family's 1533-position model. The record is from RNAcentral.
UACGGAGGAUGCGAGCGUUAUCCGGAUUUAUUGGGUUUAAAGGGUGCGCAGGUUGUUUGAUAAGUCAGUGGUGAAAGUCUGUCGCUUAACGGUAGGAUUGCCAUUGAUACUGUUAGACUUGAAUAUGGAUGAGGUAGGCGGAAUGUGGAGUGUAGCGGUGAAAUGCAUAGAUAUUACACAGAACACCGAUUGCGAAGGCAGCUUACUAAUCCAUCAUUGACGCUGAGGCACGAAAGCGUGGGGAGUCAAACA